AGAGAGAGAGAGAGAGAGAGACCACGGAACCUGUAUGCGUUAGGAGCCUGCGUACGGCGCCAUAUUGCGCCCUGAUGCCCAUUUUGCCUUUUCUCUAGCAGAGCCAAUCUGUUUCAAAUUUCACCUUUCACCGCCCACAUUACCCACCUCCCUCUCUCUCUGCCACGCCGUUAUAAAAUCUUCCGACUUCGCAUAAACAAUUAACAAUAGGAUACAGCAGUGAAAUCUCACUCUCUCUUUCUCUCUCUCCCUCUAUUUCUCUCUCUAUGUUGAGUUUUGGGUUCUGCACAUACAUACAAAUAAACAUUAAGAGCACUGAAUUUCUUUGUUGUUUUAAUCUGGGUGUGGUUGAAUUUACUUCAUGAUGAUUGAGAAAUGCAGAGAUUAAAAGUGACCUUGUAGUUAUACUUGAUUGUUGGGCAUUGAAUUUUCUUGGAUUUCUCAAGGAAUGAACUUUCUGUUGAAGGUAUAGAUAUGAGUCUGGUCCUCUGCUUCUUAAAUGCCAUUCAAUAUGGAGUUGCGUUCUCCGAUUCUGUUUCUUUUCGGUUCUGUGGUUGUUAACCAAGUUAUUGAUUGGGUUAGGACUCGCAGAUUUAGAGGGAAGUGAAAUAUAGCAAAAGAUGAAUACGAGAGCCGGGACAAGGCUGCAGCCCAUGAAAGGUCCAGUGAAGCCUGAAAAGGGUAAGGUCGAAAAGAUAUUGGGGAACAAGCAGAGAGAUAUCACGAAAGCUGCUAAAAAAAAUCGACAAGCCUCAAGCAGAGAGAAGAAAAUAGCACUGCAGCAAGAUGUUGACAAACUAAAGAAGCAGCUCAGGUACGAAGAGAAUGUUCACAGAGCUUUGGAGCGAGCUUUUAACAGACCUUUGGGAGCUCUUCCUCGGCUUCCUCCUUAUCUGCCUGCAGCUACGCUAGAGCUUCUCGCAGAAGUAGCUGUUUUGGAAGAGGAAGUUGUUCGGCUUGAAGAACAGGUGGUGCAUUUUAGGCAGGACUUGUAUCAAGAAGCUGUCUACAUUUCGAGCUCGAAGAAAAAUGUGGAAAGUUUAGCAGAUUUGUAUGACCUGUCCCCAAAUGAAAGUUCCAAACCAGAAAAUGCCAAGACAAUAGCUCGAAAUUUAGGGGAAUCCACAACAUCCAUAAUCGGGCAUUUGCCAACUCUUUCCGAAGAUGGACAAGGGAAAGAUAAUCAGUUGUGUACUAAUUCGGUGAAGCAGAACAAAAGUUCCUCAAUCCAUAAAGCUCAAAGAAGCAGAACUCCAGUGAAAAGACCUCCUGUCGACAAUAAACCAGCUGAGAAGCAUUUAAACCCUCAGAAAUUGGAGGUAGAUUGUAAAGCGAGAGGCCAAGAAAACGCUGAAGCAAGAAGUGUUAGCACUGCAGAAGAAAGGUUAUCUGGAGAUGACAACCCAAACAAGAUUUCUGAGGACAUUUUGAAAUGCUUAUCGACCAUUUUCUUACGAAUGAGCACAACAAAAAGUAGGCGUACUGCAGAGAAUUUACCUUUCUUAUCGACAUUAGUGUCCCAAGAAAAUGGUGAAGAAACUGAAUAUCGAGAUCCUUAUGGUAUGUGUUCACAAUUUGGGAAGAGAGAUAUUGGUCCAUACAAGCAUUUAUUUGCUAUAGAAGCUGGCACAAUUAAUCCAAACCGAACAUCGAACUCUUUAUUUCUACUUCAUAGGCUCAAACUUCUACUUGGGAAACUUGCCUCUGUCAACUUGCAGAAGCUCACCCAUCAAGAGAAGGUUGCGUUCUGGAUAAACAUUUACAACUCCUGCAUGAUGAAUGUAUGUGAUGCCCCUCUUUGUAUAGUUUUGGUGGCUUCUUAUCUAUCAAAUUCCAUAUGAUUUAGCUUCAUCUAUAUUUGUCAAUAUAUCUUUUCUUUCACAUAGAAGCAAGUAAUGCUAUAUAUAUGUGUUCUUAUAUUGAUAGAAAGGACCACUUACCUUGCUAUCUUGGUUCAGGCAUUUCUAGAACAUGGAAUACCAGAAGGUCCUGAGAUGAUUGUUGAACUAAUGCAACAGGUAUGAAAUAUUUUCUGAAUUGCAGUGAAUUUGGCCUAGAAAUAAAUUAGAAAAUUGAAAAGCAAUAUUCUCAAGUUUUAUUUAUAGCUUAUACAUUGUUGGUGAUUCCAUUUCUUAAUAUUUAGGCAACAAUAAAUGUUGGGGGACACUUGCUAAGUGCAAUAACCAUUGAACAUUUCAUCCUCAGACUACCUUAUUACUCAAAAUAUGUCAGUGGUGCACGCAACAACUUGUUUUGCUAAUUUCUUCUGUAAGUAAUUAAAGACUUUCUGAGCUUAACUCUCUUUCCUGAUUUACCAUCAGACCUUAUCAAAAGGAGCAAAAAAUGAUGAAAUGACAGUGAGGAGCAAAUUCGGAUUAGAGUUAUCUGAACCGUUAGUCACAUUUGCACUUUCAUGUGGAAGCUGGUCCUCCCCUGCUGUGAGAGUGUACACUGCAUCUCAGGUUGAGAACGAACUGGAUGUGGCAAAAAGAGAGUAUUUGCAGGCUGCAGUUGGAACUUCAACCAGAAAGUUUGCAAUCCCAAAGUUGUUGGAUUGGUAUUUACUUGAUUUUGCAAAGGACAUGGAGUCAUUGCUCGACUGGAUCUGCCUUCAAUUGCCAGGCGAAUUAGGGAAGGAAGCAAUUAGGUGCCUUGAUAGAGGGAAAAGCAAACCUGGAAAGUGACUUGUUUGUGGCCCCAUUUGGCAUUUGUUACGCUGAAACUGCAAUAACGACAUUGUUUACUUCAAAAACGGCGUCAUUUUAACCGAAAACGUCUUCCAAUCACUCUUCUUUUCUUCAAUGUCUCUUCUACUUUACCAAAAAGCGCAUGGUCGAACUUUCUCCUCAUAAUGCUCACUUGCCCAGAACCCUCCUUAACCCAACUCUCUAACAACCACCAAGUUCUCUGCCAUCACCACACCGUCCCCAUCUGCCAAUAUAAUAUAUAUAUAUACACUAUUCAUUACCCUAAAGCAAAAUAUUAUCCGGUUUAAAGUUUAAAAACUGGAAUUUGAAC
This 3018-nucleotide unclassified non-coding RNA is filed under the name Hevea brasiliensis (rubber tree). The record is from RNAcentral. Lineage: Eukaryota; Viridiplantae; Streptophyta; Magnoliopsida; Malpighiales; Euphorbiaceae.